This 385-nucleotide ribosomal RNA is filed under the name uncultured bacterium. Its description in RNAcentral is "bacterial SSU rRNA". It matches the Rfam family "Bacterial small subunit ribosomal RNA", at positions 28 to 402 of the family's 1533-position model. The record is from RNAcentral.
GACGAACGCUGGCGGCGUGCCUAACACAUGCAAGUCGAGCGGGAACCUCAGGAGGGGUAACCCUUCUGAGGGGAGAGCGGCGAACGGGUGAGUAACACGUGGGCAACCUGCCCCGGACACCGGGAUAACCCAGGGAAACCUGAGCUAAUACCGGAUACUCCGGCGCGAUCGCAUGGUCGUGCCGGGAAAGCUCCGACGGUCCGGGAUGGGGCCCGCGGCCUAUCAGCUUGUUGGUGGGGUAACGGCCCACCAAGGCGACGACGGGUAGCUGGUCUGAGAGGACGGCCAGCCACACUGGGACUGAGACACGGCCCAGACUCCUACGGGAGGCAGCAGUGGGGGAUCUUGCGCUAAUGCGCGAAAGCGUGACGCAGCGACGCCGCGU